UGAGACAGUUCGGUCCCUAUCCGGCGCGGGCGGAGGAUAUUUGAGAGGAGCUGCCCCUAGUACGAGAGGACCGGGGUGGACGGACCACUGGUGUAUCAGCUGUCGACCAACGGCAUAGCUGAGUAGCCAAGUCUGGACGGGAUAAACGCUGAAGGCAUCUAAGCGUGAAGCCCCCCUCAAGAUGAGAUAUCCCCUCCUUCAAGGAGAUAAGAUCCCUUAAAGACGAUAAGGUAGAUAGGUUCAAGGUGUAAGUGUGGUAACACAUUCAGCUGAUGAAUACUAAUAGAUCGAAGGUUUAUUCU
Molecule: ribosomal RNA, 302 nt
Filed under: Pseudobutyrivibrio sp. AR14
Lineage: Bacteria; Bacillati; Bacillota; Clostridia; Lachnospirales; Lachnospiraceae
Description: bacterial LSU rRNA
Rfam family: Bacterial large subunit ribosomal RNA
Source: RNAcentral